GGAAACGGAUAGAGCUAGCGUAUCUGGCCUGCAUUCAGCCGUUUGGCCUGUGCCACCAUGGCCGCUGCCUCCAGAUUGGGGUAGUGCUGUGGCAGGUGCGGGUCCGAUGGUGCAUUUGCAGGUGGAGUGCGCCGAGACGUUCGGUGCAGCUGCAUGAGCUCAGCCUUGAGGCCAGCCGCAAGGACCUGGUACCCGGGCUGGGGGAGUGUUGUUUGUGCUGGAUGCUAAGGCAUGGCUUGCGGGCUUGUGUGAGUGCCGGGCUGGCAAUUGGUGGCGGUCGCAUGCGACACGUGCCGGUGGCUUGUUCGGUCUUGCGCCGGCUCUCAUGCCCAUCCUCGGUGUAAAAGCUGGUCAUCUAUCCGACCCGUCUUGAAACACGGACCAAGGAGUUUAUCGUGUGCGCGAGUCAUUGGGCGUUGAAAACCCAAAGGCGAAAUGAAAGUGAAUGUAUCCGCAAGGAGCUGAUGUGCGAUCCUGUGUGCCUCGGUGCGCAGGCGCAGCAUGGCCAUAUCCCGUCUGCUUGCAGUGGGGUGUAGGCAGAGCGUACGCGGUGAGACCCGAAAGAUGGUGAACUAUUCCUGAGCAGGAUGAAGCCAGAGGAAA
This 603-nucleotide ribosomal RNA is filed under the name Bitylenchus huesingi. RNAcentral's name for it is "eukaryotic LSU rRNA". It matches the Rfam family "Eukaryotic large subunit ribosomal RNA", at positions 415 to 861 of the family's 3401-position model. The record is from RNAcentral. Lineage: Eukaryota; Metazoa; Nematoda; Chromadorea; Rhabditida; Telotylenchidae.